This 589-nucleotide ribosomal RNA is filed under the name fungal sp. Re-H6. RNAcentral describes it as "eukaryotic LSU rRNA". The stretch from base 225 to 378 matches the Rfam family "5.8S ribosomal RNA". The record is from RNAcentral. Lineage: Eukaryota; Fungi.
CUUGGUCAUUUAGAGGAAGUAAAAGUCGUAACAAGGUCUCCGUAGGUGGACCUGCGGAGGGAUCAUUACAAGUGACCCCGGUCUAACCACCGGGAUGUUCAUAACCCUUUGUUGUCCGACUCUGUUGCCUCCGGGGCGACCCUGCCUUCGGGCGGGGGCUCCGGGUGGACACUUCAAACUCUUGCGUAACUUUGCAGUCUGAGUAAACUUAAUUAAUAAAUUAAAACUUUUAACAACGGAUCUCUUGGUUCUGGCAUCGAUGAAGAACGCAGCGAAAUGCGAUAAGUAAUGUGAAUUGCAGAAUUCAGUGAAUCAUCGAAUCUUUGAACGCACAUUGCGCCCCCUGGUAUUCCGGGGGGCAUGCCUGUUCGAGCGUCAUUUCACCACUCAAGCCUCGCUUGGUAUUGGGCAACGCGGUCCGCCGCGUGCCUCAAAUCGACCGGCUGGGUCUUCUGUCCCCUAAGCGUUGUGGAAACUAUUCGCUAAAGGGUGUUCGGGAGGCUACGCCGUAAAACAACCCCAUUUCUAAGGUUGACCUCGGAUCAGGUAGGGAUACCCGCUGAACUUAAGCAUAUCAAUAAGCGGAGGA